GAGACAUUAGUAAAAUAUGAACAUUACAUUACCUUGUCAAGGUAAAAUCGCAGGUUAAACCCCUGUAUGUCUUG
RNAcentral lists this transfer RNA (74 nucleotides) under Campostoma anomalum (central stoneroller). RNAcentral describes it as "tRNA-Asp". It matches the Rfam family "tRNA". Rfam says of the family: Transfer RNA (tRNA) molecules are approximately 80 nucleotides in length. Their secondary structure includes four short double-helical elements and three loops (D, anti-codon, and T loops). The record is from RNAcentral. Lineage: Eukaryota; Metazoa; Chordata; Actinopteri; Cypriniformes; Leuciscidae.